AUUCCAGCUCCAAUAGCGAAUACUAAUUCUGCUGCAGUUAAAAAGCUCGUAGUUGAACUUCUGGUAGGACAGAUCCGGCCUUUGGAUGAAUGUCCAUUGUAUGCUGUGUGUCUUGUCUGGCCAUCCUUUAUGUCUUUUAGGCGUAAUCUUUCACUGUAAAAAAAUUAGGGUGUUUCAAGCAAAAGUUAUUUGGAAUAUAUUAGUAUGGGAUGAUAAGAUAGGCUCUUGAGUGCUACUUUGUUGGUUUAUACACUUAGAGAAUGAUUAACAGGGACAGUCAGGGGCACUCGUAUUCCGCCGAGAGAGGUGAAAUUCUCAGACCAGCGGAAGACGAACCACUGCGAAAGCGUUUGCCAGGGAUGUUUUCAUCG
RNAcentral lists this ribosomal RNA (371 nucleotides) under Thraustochytriidae sp. RNAcentral's name for it is "Thraustochytriaceae sp. partial small subunit ribosomal RNA". It matches the Rfam family "Eukaryotic small subunit ribosomal RNA", at positions 582 to 975 of the family's 1831-position model. Lineage: Eukaryota; Bigyra; Thraustochytrida; Thraustochytriidae. The record is from RNAcentral.